RNAcentral lists this ribosomal RNA (411 nucleotides) under Triticum aestivum (bread wheat). Its description in RNAcentral is "partial small subunit ribosomal RNA". Lineage: Eukaryota; Viridiplantae; Streptophyta; Magnoliopsida; Poales; Poaceae. The record is from RNAcentral.
AUGCCCUUACACCUGCGAACUCAUAUUAAGCUCCAGAAUAAAUACUACGACCCCUUCCGAGUGAUUGCUAAAGUGGGCAAUGUUGCAUACAAGUUGCUCUUCCUUGAUAAUGUGGGCAUCCACCCAGAUUUCCAUGUCAGCCAGUUAAAAAAACACCUGGGCCCUAAGGCAGUUCCUUGCUCUGACCUACCAUUGAUUGGACCUAAUGGCCGUAUCCACAGGAAACCAGCUCUUAUGCUGAAAACCAGGCAAAUACCUCACAACAAUCUUCCAGUCAUUUAAUGGCUUGUUUAGUGGGUGAAUUUACCACCUGAUGAUGCAUCCUGGGAGGACGUCAAUUUCAUCAAGAAUACUUUUCUAGCAUUCUUCAAACAGAAGGUGCAGGGUUGGUUUAACCAUCCAGCUCCUUGA